ACUGUCUUAAUCUGCAUCAUUACACCAGGUUUCACCUGUGUGACUUUCAUACUUGGUGAGAGAGAAAAGAGUUCCUCACGGACCUUGGAGUGGCCCCACAGCGGCCUCACUUGCCUAGAGACAAGACAGAC
This 131-nucleotide small nucleolar RNA is filed under the name Neotoma lepida (desert woodrat). Its description in RNAcentral is "Small nucleolar RNA SNORA64/SNORA10 family". It matches the Rfam family "Small nucleolar RNA SNORA64/SNORA10 family". Rfam says of the family: This family belongs to the H/ACA class of small nucleolar RNAs (snoRNAs) which act as guides in the the modification of uridines to pseudouridines. Lineage: Eukaryota; Metazoa; Chordata; Mammalia; Rodentia; Cricetidae. The record is from Rfam by way of RNAcentral.